This 309-nucleotide signal recognition particle RNA is filed under the name Microcebus murinus (gray mouse lemur). RNAcentral describes it as "Metazoan signal recognition particle RNA (ENSMICG00000036827.2)". It matches the Rfam family "Metazoan signal recognition particle RNA". From Rfam's summary of the family: The signal recognition particle (SRP) is a universally conserved ribonucleoprotein. It is involved in the co-translational targeting of proteins to membranes. The record is from Rfam by way of RNAcentral. Lineage: Eukaryota; Metazoa; Chordata; Mammalia; Primates; Cheirogaleidae.
GCUGGGCAUCGUGGCAUUUACUUGUAGUCCCAGCAACUCACUACUCAGGAGGCUGAGGCUGGAGGAUUGCUUGAGUCCAGGAGUUCUGAGCUAUAGUGCCCUAUGCUGACUGGGUAUCUAAACAAAGUUCAGCAUCAAUAGGGUGACCUCCCAAGAGUGGGGGACCACCAAGUUGCCUAGGAGGGAUGAACCAGCCCAGGUCAGAAAUGAAGCAGUUCAAAACUCCCGUGCUGAUCAGUAGUGGGAUCAUACCUGUGGAUAGCCACUGUACUCCAGCAGCCUGGGCAACAGAGCAAGACCUUGUCUCAU